ACCAAACGUUUCUGAUAUUUUCCCGGUGCUUGCAAGGUUUGACAUACAGGGAUUGGAGAAGGAGAUGACUAAAAUCGUUAAUUCUUUCGAUAAGCUUUUCAACUCCAUGAUUGAAGAAAGAGAGAACUUUAGCAACAAAUUGAGCAAAGAAGAUGGAAACACUGAAGCAAAAGACUUCUUGCAGCUUCUUUUGGACCUCAAGCAGAAGAACGAUAGCGGAAUAUCGAUAACAAUGAAUCAAGUCAAGGCCUUGCUCAUGGUAAGCUUCUUCAUCUAUCAUACUGCAUAGAUCAUCUUUCUUUUUUAUUACCUUAUUUUCUUGGGAUGCUAAUAAGUUUUUUUUUUAAUCAGGACAUUGUGGUGGGUGGAACUGAUACAACAUCAACCAUGAUGGAAUGGACAAUGGCUGAACUAAUUGCAAAUCCUGAAGCAAUGAAAAAGGUGAAGCAAGAAAUAGACGAUGUUGUCGGUUCGGAUGCCGCCGUCGAUGAGACUCACUUGCCUAAGUUGCGCUAUCUAGAUGCUGCAGUAAAGGAGACCUUCCGAUUGCACCCACCGAUGCCACUCCUUGUACCCCGUUGCCCGGGCGACUUAAGCAACGUUGGUGGCUAUAGCAUACCAAAGGGCACCAGGGUCUUCUUAAACAUUUGGUGUAUUCAGAGGGAUCCACAGCUUUGGGAAAAUCCUUUAGAAUUCAAGCCUGAGAGGUUCUUGACUGAUCAUGAGAAGCUCGAUUAUUUAGGAAAUGAUUCCCGGUACAUGCCGUUUGGUUCUGGAAGGAGAAUGUGUGCCGGAGUAUCUCUCGGUGAAAAGAUGUUGUAUUCCUCCUUGGCGGCAAUGAUCCAUGCUUAUGAUUGGAAUUUGGCCGACGGUGAAGAAAAUGACUUGAUUGGCUUAUUUGGAAUUAUCAUGAAGAAAAAGAAGCCUUUAAUUCUUGUUCCUACACCAAGACCAUCAAAUCUCCAGCACUAUAUGAAGUAACUUUACUAUUGUAUUUCUUUUAUACCACUUUAUUUCCUCUUUGUCAUGUUUAGGCAACAAUUCUAAGUAAUAAGUUUGGCUAUAUGGUGAAGAAUAAUGUGUUUAUUAUACAUCAUAAGCAAUGAGCUCUUUCCCGACCCUAGAGCAAUACAAUGAUACUGUGUAUUAAGUGAAAUCAACAAAUUUUUAUUCUAAAAUGCAUUUUUGUGCUCAAGAUUUUGAAUUUGCUUAAAUUCUUACUAUUCAACUCGAUUAUAGAAAAUUAGGUACAAUAUCUAAAUUGCCCAUAUCCUCAUAAGUUCUCAGCUAGUUGCCCUAUAAAGGACAGGCGUGAUGGUGAUCUCAGUGUGCAUCGAAAGCCUACAGGCGAACAUGAACUGGAGGUGGUUUCGUGGUAAAUGUCAAAGCUAUGAAAAGUUAUUGGAUGCUUUCUUACCUCAAAAGAGAAGUGAAAGGAGUUUAUAAGGUUUAACCACAGUUACAAAACAAGAAAAACAAAGAUUAAAGAAAACCAAAUCCUUUCCUCUUCUCUACAUUAGGGACCUCUCCGUGCCAGUACGAAAUCUCAGAUCACAUAUUAAAACGAUAAACUAGAUCAAAUCCAAGACAAUCACUCAUCUACUAGAGAAUGAAUAAGACCUUCUAGCUGCUCAAGACAUCUGUUUCAUGACACUCAGCUAGGAUGAUUGAUGUUUUGCCUCUGUCCCCACAACCUCUUGAACCACCGUCGGAGCUUCUUCGAUCCACCAGACAUCAUGUUUUCGUCGAAAUCCUUCAUUGGCUAGUAGGUGGGCUACUCGAUUUCCCCCUCUUUAUAUGUUAGAACUUGAUUCUGUUGAACAUGGACUGUAAUGCAACAAAAGGCCAGGAAGCAGACAAGCAGCUGCAGCAGACCAGCAUUCGAGUAGGACCAGAAACAGCUUGGUUCUUUUGUUUACUUUUGAUUAUUUUGUAAUGCUAUCAAAGCUUGAAUGUAACUAGACCUUAGAGUUGUUAGGAUUUGAAUUUGAUAAAUGUAAUGGCUGAAUUAUUCAACUCUUUAAUUCGUAUUGUUUUGUAGUGCAACUUGCUAAAACUGAUGGGAGCAGUUACAAAUGUUAGGUAACUGUCAUACUUUUUUUGUAACACCAUAUAUUUCAAAGUUUCAAUGAGAAAACUGAUUUUGCUUCAUCGGUUACUAGUUGUUCUUAGUCUUCCAUCUUUUUCAUUGUUUUUCUUUGCUGUUUAUGCUCUAUGAAGUUUCAUUUUUCUUUGUUUGCUGCUACCAUUGUUCCAACAAAUGGUAAUCAGAGCCUCCUAUCUUUGAGGACCUCUGCUGUUUAAGUUUUAGUUUUCAAAACAAAGUCAGAAUCAUGUUUGCAAAGUCAGUUUCAGCAGCAUGAGUUUUGCUCCUCCUCCACCACUAAUUUUUUCUGGAGAUAACUACCACAUUUGGGUAGUCAAGAUGAAGACAUAUCUCCAAGCACUUGACCUCUGGAGUGCAGUUGAAAGUGACGUCGAGCCACCAUCAUUAAGAGCAAAUCCUACCAUUGCUCGGAUCAGACAACAUGGUGAGGAACGAGCCAAGAAGCACAAAGCUAUAGCCUGUCUGCAGAAUGGUGUGUCUGAUGUUAUCUUUACUCGCAUCAUGGCCUGUGACUCUCCUAAGCUGGCAUGGGACAGGCUGAAAGAGGAGUUUAUGGGAUCAGACAAGACCAGGUAGCAACAAGUCAUCAACCUGAGAAGGGAGUUUGAAAAUUUAAAAAUAAAGGAGUCAGGAACUAUUAAACAGUAUUAUGAUAGAAUAAUGGCUAUUGUCAAUAACAUAAGACUCCUAGGAGAGGAUUUUAGUGACAGUAGAGUGGUUGAGAAGGUGAUUACCACUCUUCCAGAGAUAUUUGAAUAAAAAAUCUCCUCACUGGAGGAUUCGAGGGACCUCACAACCAUUUCAUUGUCUGAAUUGGUUAAUUCUCUCUAUGCACUCGAGCAGAGGAGAGCUAGCAGAUAGGAGGAGAACCCUGAAUGAGCCUUUCAAGCAAGAGCCAGAGAAGGUUCUAGCUCAAAUCAGAGAACUAAAAAACCUUGGUUUGAAAGAAAGGACAAAGCAAGGAGAGAAGCAAACAGAGAAGCAGGCAGAAGGAGGUUUCCACUAUGCAUUCACUGAAAAAAGACCAAUCAUUUGGAGAAAUUUUGCUGGACCAGACUAGACAUACAGUGUAAGAGUUGCAAGCAGUAUGGCCAUCAUGAGAAUAUUUGUAGAAAUCAUGAGAAGCCUUAAGAUCAGCCAGUACAAGCCAAGACUGCUGAGGACAUACAAGCUCAAGAGGAGCAUGUAUUCACUGCCUCAUGUUUUGCAGUCAACAACAAGUGUAGUUGGCUUAUGGACAGUGGUUGCUCACACCACAUGGCUGCUGAUGAGAGUUUGUUUAAGAACCUUGACAGGAGCUAUGUCUCGAAGGUCAGGAUAGGUAAUGGGAACUUGAUUGAAGCAAAUGUCAGAGGUGAUGUUGUGAUCUACACUGGAUUAGGUAACAAAGUCAUUUCUGAUGUUCUCUUUGUGCCAGAAAUUAAUCAGAAUUUGCUUAAUGUAGGCCAUUUAGUCAAGAAAGGCUAUUUUCUAGUUUUCAAGAAUGAUUCUUGUGUUAUAAGUGAUGCUCAUGGUAGGGAGAUAGUCUCAGCACCUAUGGCAGACAAGUGUUUCAUGUUGGAUGUGAGUCAGCUUGAGAAAAGUGCCUAUACAAGCUCAGUUGAUAAUACUGAUCUUUGGCACAAGAGGUUUGGCCAUGUUAAUCUCAAGUCACUCAAUUUACUGCACAAAAUGAGUAUGACAGAGGAGAUGGUGAAGGUUAAUGUAAGUGAAUCAGUUUGUGAGGUGUGUCAGCUUGGUAAAUAGGCUAGGCUGCCUUUUCUAGCAAACCAGGCAUGGAGGGCUCGAGACAUACUUGAGCUGGUGCACUCAGAUGUCUAUGGACCAAUGAAGACACCUUCAUUGAAUGGUAGUAAGUACUUUAUAUUGUUUAUUGAUGAUUUAACCAGAUUUUGCUGGGUUUACUUUAUGAAACAGAAGUCAUAGGUGUUUGAAAUGUUUGGAAAGUUCAAGGCUUGGGCAGAAAAUCAAGCAGGCUGCAAGAUUAAGGCUUUAAGAACAGACAAUGGUUCUGAAUACUUGUCUGAAAGAUUUCAGAAGCUAUGUGAGCAGGAUGGAAUCCAUCAUCAGCUGACCAUAGUGUACACUCCUCAGCAAAAUGGAGUGAGUGAGAGGAAGAACAGGACAAUGAUGAACAUGACUAGGUGUUUGUUGUUCCAAAGCAAGCUUCCAGGCAUUUUUUGGGCUGAAGGUGUCAAUACUUUAGUAUACUUGCUCAAUAGGCUACCAACACAUGCUGUGAAGGACAAUACCCCUUUUGAAGCUUGGUAUAGUCUUAAACCUGUUGUCUCACAUUUAAAAUUGUUUGGCUGCAUAUGUUAUGUACUUGUACCAGCAGAAAGAAGGACCAAACUUGAGAAGAGGUCAAUUGCUGGCAUAUUUGUUGGCUACAGUAGCUGUAAGAAGGGCUACAGAAUAUUUGAACCCUCGACCAAGAAGAUUUUGGUAAGUAGGGAUGUUAAAUUUGAUGAAACAAGGUUUUGGAACUUUGAUGGUUCAGAUACAAGUCAGUUUGAAGAAGAGAAAGGUGAUAGCAACCUGGAAUUGGCAGAAAGUGAAGUCAGUAAUGCCAAUGUUGAUGAUGAUUCUGUGAGAGGGACCAGGUCCAUUGCUGAACCCCAAGCUAUGAAGAGGCUGCUAGAAUUAAGAGUUGAAAGAAAGCUAUGGAGUCUGAGAUCGAUAUGAUCCACAAAAAUGACACUUGGGAUCUAGUGGACAGACUUGAACAGAAGAAAGCCAUUGGUGUCAAGUGGGUUUACAAGGUCAAGUUCAAUGUAGAUGGCUCUCUGAAUAAGCACAAGGCAAGGCUUGUGGUGAAAGGGUACAACCAACAGUUUGGCAUUGAUUUUGAGGAAACUUUUACUCCAGUAGCAAGGCUGGAUACUAUAAAGUUACUAUUUGCCUUGGCUGCACAGAAACAGUGGAAGGUUCACCAGCUUGAUGUCAAGUCAGCCUUCUUAAAUGGCUUCCUUAAAGAGGAGAUUUAUGUUGAACAGCCUGAUGAAUUUAAAGUUCAAGGAAAGGAAGACAAGGUUUAUAGGCUAAAGAAGGCACUUUAUGGUUUGAAGCAGGCCCCUCGAGCCUGGUAAGACAGAAUUGAUGAAUAUCUGUCUAAACUCAACUUUGACAAAAGCUUGAGUGAACCAAAUUUGUUUGUGAAGAAGUCUAAAGAUGAGACACUAUUGAUUGUGUUAAUAUAUGUGGAUGAUUUGUUAGUGACUGGAAGCAAAAUUGAGAUGAUUCAAGAGUUUAAGGAAAAAAUGCAAGUCAUGUUCGAUAUGACAGACUUGGGAACUAUGAGCUAUUUCCUUGGUAUGGAAGUGAGUCAGGUUGAUCAAGGCAUUUUUAUUAGUCAGCAUGCAUUUGCCUUAAAGAUACUCACUAAAUUUCAUAUGGAAAAUUUCAAGCCAGUGAGUACACCUCUGGUUAUAGGACUGAAGUUGAGCAGCUAUGGAAAUGAAGAAAAAGUGGAUGAAAGGGAGUAUAGAAGUAUAAUUGGAUGUUUACUAUACUUAACAGCAACUAGACCUGAUCUUAUGCACUCGGUCAGUUUGCUAUCUCGUUUCAUGCAUAGCUGCAACACAUCACAUUUAAAGGCAGCAAAGAGAAUCCUCAGGUAUGUCAAAAGAACCUUGAAAUUUGGAGUGAUGUUCAAGUCAGGAAGUAAGUUGAAGUUAACUGGCUACUCAGACAGUGACUGGGGAGGUUCGAUUGAUGAUAUGAGGAGUACCUCAGGCUACCUUUUUACACUUGGUUCGGGAGCUUUCUGUUGGAGCUCUAAAAAGCAACAAACGGUUGCUCAAUCAACUGCUGAGGCAGAGUAUAUAGCAGCAGCUGGAGCAGUAAGCCAGGCUAUUUGGCUUAGAAAAUUGUUGUGUGAUUUGAAUAAGGAACAAUUUGAACCUACCGAGAUUAUGGUUGAUAAUCAGUCAGCAAUAGCUAUCUCCAAGAAUGCUGUUUUUCAUGGCAAAACAAAACAUUUUAAACUUAAAUUCUAUUUUGUUCGAGAGGCAGUGCAAUCAAAGGAUGUAAGUCUUGCACAUUGUAGCUCACAAGACCAAUUGGCUGAUAUUCUGACAAAGCCUCUUGGUACUAUGAGGUUUGAAUUUCUUAGAGAAUCAGUUGGUGUUUGUUGCCUACAGUCCAAGGAGGAGUGUUGAACAUGGACUGCAAUGCAACAAAAGGCCAGGAAGCAGACAAGCAGCUGCAGCAGACCAGCAUUCGAGCAGGACCAGAAGCAGCUUGGUUCUUUUGUUUACUUUUGAUUAUUUUGUAAUGCUAUCAAAGCUUAAAUGUAACUAGACCUUAGAGUUGUUAGGAUUUGAAUUUGAUAGAUGUAAUGGCUGAAUUAUUCUGCUCUUUAAUUUGUAUUAUUUUGUCGUGCAACUUGCUAAAACUGAUGGGAGCAGUUACAAAUGUUAGGUAACUGCCAUACUUCUUUUGUAACACCAUAUAUUUCAAAGUUUCAAUGAGAAAAUUGAUUUUGCUUCAUCGGUUACUGGUUGUUCUUAAUCUUCCAUCUUUUUCAUUGUUUUUCUUUGUUGUUUUGUGAGCUUAUACUCUGUUGUGAAGUUUCAUUUUUCUUUGUUUGCAGCUGCCAUUGUUCCAACAGAUUCUUUCAAAGCUCGCAGAAAUUUAUGUCGCUUCCCAGAUAAAUUUACUAGUUAUCAAUUUGUCAAUGCAUGUCGCUUUAAGCUUCUUUAUUACCACCAAGGAGUCGCCUUCUACUUCCACAAACCGGAAACCCAUCUCCUGAGUGAAUCUGAUUGCUUAGGUACUUGCUAAGGCCUCUGCAGUUAGAACAUCAAGUAUGUAACAAUUCCAUAAGCAAGUUGUGUCCAUAAUAAACCCUUCAUUGUUUUUUUAAGAUAAUAAAUGUCCUUAAUCCUUCCAGAUCCUUGUUGAAGCUUACAUCGAAGUUUACCCGAACAAAAGGCUCCAAAGGAGGUCGCCACCCUAUUGACUUUGUUGGCUUAAGCUUUAACUGUUCCCUUGUUAGUGUUUCUAAUUCUCUAGUAUAACCCAAUGUUUCUAAUUCUCUAGCAUAACCCAAUACAAAGGUAAAAGUCUCAAAACUUGUUUGCUGUUUGCUUUCAUGCACCAACCUAUUCCUUGAGAGCUAAAUUGCCCAAAUUGCUACAAUAAUAAUUAGCUUUUGAUAAUUGCUCCUCCCAUUGAAUAAUUUUCCAACCGACUUACCAAAGAGUGCUCUACUUGGCUUAUCACCCAAUUGAUUCCCAAUUUGUACCAAACCUGUAAGGCUAUUGUGCAAUCUAAGCAUGUUUUUAGACUGCAAAGUAAGGGGAGAAUAGGUCUCUUCGAUUGGGUGCCAUGCUAUCUACCAAUUCAAUUCACAAGCUCAUGAUCUAAAUUUGUAGAGAUUUGAAAAUAUAGUUCGGUUGAUUGAUAAUAUAACAUUUCAUUUUACAUCAUAUUUUACCUUAAAAUGUUACCUUAAAUUUUUCUUAAAAAUUACAUUCGUGAAAUUUGAUUUUAAAAUUAAUAUAAAGUAUUUGAUAAAUGCAUUUCACUUUUGUUGUUGAGAAAGAAAAAAAAUAUGAUCCUUUUCUUUUAGGGAAAUAAAUAUACUUAAAAAAAUAAUAAUUCCAUAUGUAUGUAAUUUCCAGUCAAUAAUAUAUUACUAAAAUACAUUUGAUCUUGAUAAUAAUACGAUUUUUUUUCUUUCUGGGAGAUAAAUUAAUUGUCUGCAGCAUUGUUGUGAGAUAGCCAAUCAUGCAAUAGCCCGUACAAAUGGCGAACAGUUUAAAUGCGAAUCACUUAGCGGAUUGUUAAUUAACGAACUGUCUCGUGGACUGACAUUAUGCAGACAAUCUAUAUGAUACAAGUCUGGCGGACUGUCAAGUGAGAACAAAUUUGCGGACACAUGAAGCUGCAAUCUGUAUGACGGGAUUGAAGAAAUGUGGAGUAUAUUCGUGAAAUGUGCCUGCGGACUGUAUCCGCAGUUAGAAUGAAGUUGUUUUGGUGCACGCUACCAGUGAUGAGUGCGUGUUUGUUUUAGAUAAAAUCAACCUUAGUUGGUAGAUUUUUUUUAUGUGUUUAAGUAAUGAUUCACAUAUUUGGUUAAUUUAUUUUAUGUACUCUUGUAAAAUAAUUCAUAUAUACUGUAAAGUUUGAAAAAAUGAAAUAUAGAGCAGACUCGAUAUACUGCUAAUUCUCUGUUUUGCUUUCUUUCUUUGUUCUUUAACACCCACAAGUAUCCUCCUCCAGGCAUGAACUAGGAUGAUAUGGUUAGAGAGAAAGGGAUUUUCAAGUGGUAAUCAAGAUUUCAAGAGGAAGCACUAGACCUGCAAACAGGUAAGUCUUUCUCAAAAGCUGGGGCAGCUCGAAGAAUUGGAUUGCUUUCGAAGAAAUUGACAGGCUUUAGCUCAAACCCUGAUGUCACUGUUGGCAUUACAGGGAAAUCUUCUUGGCAUGGAAUGUGAUGGAAUCCCAAUGUGUACCACAACACGAUAUCCUUAUUUUCAAUAGAACGAUCCCUGUUCUCGAUGGAUUAAAGCAGAAAAUCAGGGUAGAACGUAUGCAUUACAACAAUUGAUUCAUUUAUCGAGUUUUAUACCUUUCAGACCACACAGCAAGAGUGUCAUCUCCCCUACUUUGAUAAGUUAGAAGCCCACCAGCCCAUUGUUCACUCCUGUUAUAAGGAGUCACCCAUAUCUAUUCAAAAAAAGAGCUCAAUAAAGAGUGCAAAAUCAUUAACUCAAGAGCAAAAAAAGGAUAAAAGGGUUUUACCUGGUUGUUGGUGAAGGCGCUUCUUAGUUGUGGAGGAUCAUCAUGAUCAAGCAAACUAGCUGCAGUUCCUCCAGGAACAAUCUUGUAUCCUGUUGGAUUUCCUAGCCUAGACUUUUUAGAAGGAUUAAUCAUAUGAAACUCUGAGGGAUCAUACAAUUUAAGCUUAAUUUGUGCAUCUUUUUCAGUCUUAGCUAUUUUUCUCUUAGCUUUCAAGUAGCUCUUCCUAGGGGAUUCCCCUGGUAAACUCCGUUCCUUAACAAGAUUAACAUUAACAAACGAAUUGUUCGCCCCAUCGAUAUCCAUGUCGAGGUGAAAGGUAACAAAGUGAUCGUGAACUACUCCGAUAAGAUUCUCGGAAAUGAGAGGACCCGACAUGGCAUCUUGGUUAGGCGCUUGAUGGUAAGGACUGCCUUUCACCAUUAGCAUUCCUGAAAGCCCUACCUGUACAAAGUUAAAUCAUACAAAAUGAAUGGCAAACACUAUUGCUGAGGAAGAAGUUGAUGAAAAUUAAUGGCAUAAGGGAAUGACCUUAACAUUUAUUAAACCAUCUGUUUGAAACUCCCAAUCAAAGAUGUAAUCGUAGUUUCCCACUGAUGCUGCCAUACGAGCAACGAGAGUUACUUUUGGUCUUGCCUCCCUAAUCUACAAGUACAAUAAUGGAAAUAGAAAAACAAAUUAAAAUAUGUUUUCAUUGAUUAUAAUUUUUAUAAUGUUUGCAAUCUACUCUCUGUAUUUGAAAAGCUAAAAUCAAGUUCUCUUAAAUUUUUUUACUUUAAAAAUGAUUUAUUUAUGAAGUUGGUAUGAUUAUAGAGCUAGAACGAGCUAGAAUAAAAGUUUCACCUCUGUUAAAUUAAAUAGGAUUAUGUUAAAUUCAUAUUAUUCUUAUGAAGUUGGUAUGGUUAUAAAGCUAUAACGAUGUUAAAAUAAAAGUUUCACCUCUAUUAGAUUAAAUAGAAUCGUGUUAAGUUUAAAUUAUUUUAUAUCUUAAUUAAACAUUAAAAAUAGAUAGAAAUCAACUUUUGAAACAUGUUGCAAGACUCUCGUUCUUAAAAGUUUCUUUUUUUGGUAAAAAAGUUUCUUUUUUUGGUAAAAAAGUGUUUUCUAUACUAUCAAUUAUUUUCCCAUUUACUCAAAUUCAUAUCAAGCAAUAAGCAUACAAUAUAUGACACGUUUUUAAUUGGAUGUUGUAGACAACAUGAGAGGAAUUAUUAUUUAAGUACAUUUUCACCCGAACAACUUUAGUACUUAAGUGAAAAGAAAAAUAUAAUUUGUGGGCCUAUUUCGUAGUUAAGCUUAUUUUAAAAGUAUCAGGGUUUAUUAUUGUUACUAUUGUUGGAGUUAUUAUUACCUGGAAAUCAGUGAGUAGGCCCUCUGAAUGUCGCCAACUGAUGUCGCCGGCAUAGCGCUCAAACAGGCAAAUCAUGUUGGGUUGAACAAAUGGGUUUCCAUCGGGAGUAGCAAAAAUGCCGUUCAUGUAAUAAGAGUGCCUUGGACAAUCAUUUAGUGGCACAAGUGGAAGGGCUGACAUCCCUAAACCAUACUCACCAGCAUCCAUAUACGACUUAAAAUACCAGGACUCAUCAAGGUCCAUGUAUGGUACAAAAAAUUCUGAAGCGAACCCUUUGUACAUCACAUCCCUCAGCUCACCAUUCUCCGAGUCCCGUACCAUGACUCUUGAAAUCACCAAACCAGCGCGGUGGUCAGCCUUGAGGUGAAACACCCAGUUGGCCCACUUCACUAUAUGCCCAUCUUCAACUCUAAAACUUGGUCCUUUUGGUUGUUCUAUGGAAAUUGGGUUCAAUCGUUCCAUUUGUGGUUCCUUCGUUUGAGCUGUGUACCUGUAAUCUGUAUCGGUACUUUUUGGAAUGGGGAUUUCUCGGCCCGUAUCAGAGAAUUUCAGCACCUCCAAUGUAUCCAAGUCCACCGUCAUGACGAGCCCUUCAAUGGGCCUCAUGUAGAAAUUGGGUGUGCUUUCUUUAGAGUAACACAGGACCUUUACAACUCUUUUGCCUUCUUCAUUUGGCCCAAACCAGCCUGCCGAAGGUGGUAAGCAUAUCAAAUCUGAUGAUGGGACCCCUCGGGCGGCAAUGGAUUUGUUGAACUCCGCAUUAGAGAACGGCACUUUAGACGCUGCCAAAAUAUCAUCCACAGAUAGCAUCGGAUAGCCUGAGCUUGAAUUGAUGGCAUGGCUAGUGAUACUGCUAGAAUCCAAGUCCACGGUAAGCACAUGGGACUGGCCAUUCAACAGAGCCAAAACUUGUGCUUUUCUUGGAAGAAGUGCGUCACCUUUGCUCCACUUCAGAACCUUGACCUUGUCUGGUUCAUCGAGCUGUACAGUGUGAAUAGUAGGGAAGGUAAAUGAAAAGGGUUCAUAAGAUGAGAGGAUGGUCCGGACCUUGUUGAUUUCCUGCACAGUAAGAGGGUCCAGUGGAUGAUGAGGGGCCUCAGCUGAGUGGUCUAUCGAAGUUUGAGCUUGUGUCUCCAACACUGAGCUGGCCUUGGAGUUUGAGAAAAUCCGGUUCUUGGAGGUGGACCAUGGAGUUUGCAGUGUGGAAUUAGGCAAUGAUGAAUUGGUAGAACGGUACCAUGAACCUACAACAAUGAAUAAAACUAAACAUGAAAUGAAACAGAAAUGAAUACAUGAUGAUUUUUCCAUGAUCAGAUCAGAGUGGUUGUUUCUCUAAUUGUGAAUUUGUAAUUGAGCUUUUCAUGGCCACAAGAGAAUGUCGCCGUCCCAAUAGAAUUUGUCAUUUAGCAUUAUGGCAUUAAAAACUAUAAACUCUCCCCAUUAUUUAAAUCACCGUAUGACGAUUGUCCAUUAAAAUAUACUGACGGCUAAGGUGAUUAGAAUUGACUAGGUAAGAUAGGAAUCUCCUUUUUUAACCUAAAAUAUUCCAACUUGAUAAUUUUAAAUAUAUGAUUAAUUUUUUUAGUAAGGGUAAAUAACAUUAAAUUGUUAGUAAAUUUAUAUUUUGAUCACUCAAUUAAAAAUGUUACAAAAUAAUCACUAAACUAUUCGAAAGUUUUCAUUUAAAUCACAGAACUAUUUAAGAGUUUUUAUUAAGUCAUUGAACUGUUAAGUGUUUUUUUUUUUAAUCCAGCUAGCUAGCUUCAAAUGGAAAUUUGACGAUCAAUACAAUAGAUUAGCACCCAUAGACGAGUAGAGGAACAUACUUUAGAUCCAAGUCGAUCUAACGGUCAAACUCAAAGAUUAGAGGAACAUACUAGGGAAAGUAAUGCAUAGGUUGACUUAAAAAGUUCAAACCAUCCAAAGAAAAUUACUUAAGUAUAUUUAUCCGAGAAAUUAACAAGGAGAAAAAAGUGGUAAAAGUUUGAAAGGAUGCACCUUCGUAGGACGAAAAACCAUUAAAGAUUGAGAUGAAAGAGAGAAAAUAUACAGAGCUCCCAUGAUAAAAGAAUGAAUUAAGUAAUGUGAUCAGUGACUAAAAAGUGAAAAAAUUAGAAGAAUUCAUAAAAAGAACCCUUUCUCCUAAUUCCAAAAAAUAGAGACAGAGGUGCUUGUGAGAUCCACGUUGAGACUCUGUGCUUAAUUUUUGAGUUUUUUCUCUUUACUUUCUAAUUUAAAUUACUCAAAAAAUAUGUUGAUUAAAUUUUAAUUUGAUUGAUAUCGAUAUUGUUGUCAGUGUAGGAAGAUGUGGGUUCGAGUGCGCUGAAACACACUAUCCUCCUAUUUAGGAGUCGAGAAGGGUAGUUUUAGGAAUUAUAUAAAAAAACAUAUAAAAAUAUUAAAAAAUAUAAGAAAUAUUUAUCUAUUAUCAAACAUGUUGGAACAUUUUCAAAUAUUUGUAGUGUUCCAAUAACUAUAAAUGAAUGGGUGUAAUUAAUCAAAAGUUAUAUUAUUUGAUUUUUUAAAAAAGAAUUAUAACUAUUUAAAUAAUAUUAUUUGAAUAGUUAUAAUAUUAAAUGAAUAAUUAUGUGUUUAUUUUAAAGACAUUAUUAUUCAGAAAGACACCUAUUGAAAUAUGCCUCUAUAAGGAGACAUGACAAUUCCUAUAUAUAGGGAUGAGAUUUCAUUUGAAAAUCACACCAACAAAUUCUAAUAUUCUUUCUUUCAUUCCUUUAUUUUCUAAUAUUAUUAGAUUAUUUUAUAAAGUAUUACUGCAGAAAUCCUUUAUAGAAAUUGAGUUUCUUGUCAUACAUUGCUCAGUGUGUAGUGGCUAUUCUCGUCAGUGCAAAACGCAAAUAGUCAUUGGUUUCAUUGUAUCCUCGAGGUUAAUUUGCUUGGAACUCAUUGGCACACCGAAAAUAAGUGGGGGCGAAUAUAACCUUAAAGAUAGUGACUUGAUACACGCCUUAGAGCCUUGUCCUAUUUCUUCUUUUUCUGUUCGAGUUCCGUUCGUGUCAUGGAGAUUUUCUUCACCAAAGAUUUGUACUAACAAACACAUCUUUUAAAUAAAUGGUCCAGCACAACGUUAAUAUCAUAUCAAAUUUUCAAAUUAAUUCACACAAUAAUAUUCCCUAAACCCCUUAGACUGCUAAAAUGAUUUUUUGGAAUUUACAAUCAACAAUACAUUACUAAAAUACAUUUGAUUGUGAUAAUAAUAUGAUCUUUUUUUUCUCAAAGGUAGAUAAAUUGUAAGAUAUAUUCUAUUGCAGGCAUGGACUGGGAUCUUAUGGUAAGAGGAGCUUUCAAGUGCUAAUCAAGACUUCAAGGGGAAGCACUUGGCCUACAAACAGGUAAAUCUUUCUCAAAAGCUGGGGCAGCUCAAAGAAUUUGGUUGCUUUCGAAGAAAUUGACAGGCUUUAGCUCAAACCCUGAUGUCACUGUUGGCAUUACAGGGAAAUCUUCUUGGCAUGGAAUGUGAUGGAACCCCAAGGUGUACCACAACACGAUAUCCUUAUUUUCAAUAGAACGAUCCCUGUUCUCGAUGGAUUAAAGCAGAAAAUCAGGGUAGAACGUAUGCAUUAUAACAAUUGAUUCAUUUAUCGAGUUUUAUACCUUUCAGACCACACAGCAAGAGUGUCAUCUCCCCUACUUUGAUAAGUUAGAAGCCCACCGGCCCAUUGUUCACUCUUGUUAUAAGGAGUCACCCAUAUCUAUUCAAAAAAAGAGCUCAAUAAAGAGUGCAAAAUCAUUAACUCAAGAGCAAAAAAAGGAUAAAAGGGUUUUACCUGGUUGUUGGUGAAGGCGCUUCUUAAUUGUGGAGGAUCAUCAUGAUCAAGCAAACUAGCUGCAGUUCCUCCAGGAACAAUCUUGUAUCCUGUUGGAUUUCCUAGCCUAGACCUUUUAGAAGGAUUAAUCAUAUGAAACUCUGAGGGAUCAUACAAUUUAAGCUUAAUUUGUGCAUCUUUUUCAGUCUUAGCUAUUUUUCUCUUAGCUUUCAAGUAGCUCUUCCUAGGGGAUUCCCCUGGUAAACUCCGUUCCUUAACAAGAUUAACAUUAACAAACGAAUUGUUCAAACAAGGUGGCUGGAAAGUAUUAUCCAAAUAUCUUAUUUUGUAAGCUUUUAACUUUUGCAGAAAUAAGCAACGAAAUUGUAAUGCGAUCGAUAUAAUAUAUUAUCAACAAGUAUUCUCGAUUGAAUUUUAAAUCGAUUGAUAUCAAUAUCGUUUUAGGCAUUGUACCAAAUAUAUAUAUGUCAGUAUAAGAGUCAAAAUACAUUUUACCCAAAAAAUCUAAUAAUGUAGAGCUGUAGUCCACAAUACUGACUUAAUUUGUUUUCAUUCAACCCUCAAUACUGACAUCACUACAGAAGAACAAACCAGAAAUAUUUAUAAAGUUAAGAAGAUGAGCUUUGACUGGAAGUGUUGGGCAGGUUGGUACCGGCAAGGGAACGCCAUUGUUCUGGUGCUGCCAUUCCUAUAUCCUUUGGAGCCAACGUAAGAGAUUGAAGAAGCCCCCAUAAAAUAAUGGAUUAUUAUCGGACUUUUAGUCCAAAUAACAGUAGUAAUAAUUGAAGAAGCCUCUAUAUAGUCAGUCCAUGUUUGGAAAGAUAGAUUCCGCUGCCUUGAAUUGAAUACACUACACAAUGACGCACAUGGCAGACCCCAAGUGUCCCCUCCCACCAAUUUUUUUAAUAACAAGUACGCCAUGCUUUAUUAAUUCUCUUUAUUAUAGUUUCUUCAAAAUUUCCCCCCUAACCAUGGCAUAAAAUAAUAAUAAUUUUUACCUAUUUCAUUUUCUUUAAGGUGAUUAAUAUAUGUUUUCAUAACCAGGUUAAGUUGGGUAUGUGUUAAUUCGUGUUUAAAUCGAUCUUUUAGUCCGGUUGAAUGGGUCCGUUUCGAUUCUUUAUUCAAUCAUUUUAAAAUUUUUCAAAUCAGCACUUCAAUUGACUGUUGAUUCAAUUGAUUUGGCCGAUUGAUUUGAUUCGAUUUAGAUAAUAUUAGAACAAAUUAAUUUAAUGUUAUAGAGUGUAUCAUAAUUACUAAAACAUGUUUGUAGACAACUAAAACUUUUAAAAGUAUCAUAAAUCAUAAACUCAUUUGUUACACAUCAUUUGAUAUUAUAGAAAAUUAAAUAUAGUUGUUUUAUGUUGAAAGUUAAAUAUUUUUUAAAUACAAGUUAAUAAUUUUAAUUUGUAAUGUUAUUCAAUGAUAAUAACUUGUACGAUAUUAGUUUGAAAUUAUCUAUUGCAUUUGAAGGACUAACAGAUAUACAAAUUAAUUUUCAUUAAAGUAAUACGGCAGUGACCAUCGACUCUGGCUGUUAUCACUACACCAAUAUAGGCUUUUAGCGGCGGUUUUAGCGGCGUUUAGAUGAAAAACGCUGCUAAAGUUAGAUCAUUAGCGGCGCAAAACGAAAAACGCCGCUGAAAAUAAGAAUUAGCUGCGUUUUCCAGAAAGCGCCGCAAAAACCAAAGCCCAACGACGCCGUUUCCGAGCUUUUGGGGAUUUAGCGACGUUUUUAAUCAAGCGCCACUAAUAAUCCUAAGCCAAACGGUGCCGUUUCCGUAGUUUUUGGGAUUUAGCGGCAUUUUUGGGGAAGCGCCGCUAAAAAACCUAAGCCAAACGGUGUCGUUUUCUCAGCUUUCGUGGAAUUAGCGGCGCUUUGACGAAAGCGCCGCUAAUGUUCAGGGAUUUAGCGGCUUUUUAGGAAAGUGCCGCAAAAAAACAUAUGUCCAAUGGCACCGUUUUCAGAUCUUUCGAGGCCUUAGCGGCGUUUUUAAUGAAGCGCCGCUAAUGCUUGGGGGUGCCCAACGGCACCGUUUUCUUAACUUUCAGUGGAUUUAGCGGCGUUUUCUAAGAAAGCGCCGCUAAUGCUUCCUUUAGCGGCGUUUUUCGGAAAGUGCCGCUAAUGCUCAGGGGUUUAAAAUAUUUUAAAAUAUUCGUUAAAAAUGGAAAAAUUAAAAUACUAUUAUUUAAAAUAAUUUUAAAGUUUUUUGGAUACAUUACUGAUUUUUUUAGAUUAUAUAUUAAAUAAUUUCUUAUAUAAUCGUAAAAGAGAUAGUAUUAAUUUUAAAAUAUUGAAUUAAUUAUCUCUAUAGUAUACGGUUUAGAGUUUAAAGAGUAGUCUAGGGUAUGGAUUUAGGGUUUGUGAUUUAAAGUUUAGGGGUUAGGUAUUAUGCUUUAGGGGUUAGGGGAUUUAGGGGUUACGAUUAGGGUUUCAAUGCAUAUCAAAGUGUUAAGUAAAAUCUAUCGUUUUAUUUUAGGUUUUAGGGUUUAAAAUUUAAGAUUUAAUGUCUACGGUUUAGGGUUUAGGGUUUAUGGUAUACUGUUUAUUAAUUUGGGUUAAGUGUUUAUGUGUUAGAGAUUGAGUUUGGGGUUUAAGGUUUGAGUUUAGGGUUUUAGGGUUUAGUUUGAAAAUUGAAGAACAUUUGGAUUUUACUCGGAUUCAUGCCAUUUUGUACUACAACCAUAUAUAUAAUAUAAUAAUAUAAAAUAUAUGUCUUGUACUACACUAACACUGGCCACACGAAUUCCAAAAAAUAUGGUUUAGGUUUACAGUUUAGGGUUUACAGUUUAGAGUUUAGAGUUUUAGGUUUGGGGUUUAGGAUUUAUGAUUUAAGGUUUAUGGUAUAUUGACGGUCGAAUUUUGGGGUUUGGUUGUUGGGUUUAGGGGUUAGAUUUUUAGAAUAUAAAUGUAAAUNNNNNNNNNNNNNNNNNNNNNNNNNNNNNNNNNNNNNNNNNNNNNNNNNNNNNNNNNNNNNNNNNNNNNNNNNNNNNNNNNNNNNNNNNNNNNNNNNNNNNNNNNNNNNNNNNNNNNNNNNNNNNNNNNNNNNNNNNNNNNNNNNNNNNNNNNNNNNNNNNNNNNNNNNNNNNNNNNNNNNNNNNNNNNNNNNNNNNNNNNNNNNNNNNNNNNNNNNNNNNNNNNNNNNNNNNNNNNNNNNNNNNNNNNNNNNNNNNNNNNNNNNNNNNNNNNNNNNNNNNNNNNNNNNNNNNNNNNNNNNNNNNNNNNNNNNNNNNNNNNNNNNNNNNNNNNNNNNNNNNNNNNNNNNNNNNNNNNNNNNNNNNNNNNNNNNNNNNNNNNNNNNNNNNNNNNNNNNNNNNNNNNNNNNNNNNNNNNNNNNNNNNNNNNNNNNNNNNNNNNNNNNNNNNNNNNNNNNNNNNNNNNNNNNNNNNNNNNNNNNNNNNNNNNNNNNNNNNNNNNNNNNNNNNNNNNNNNNNNNNNNNNNNNNNNNNNNNNNNNNNNNNNNNNNNNNNNNNNNNNNNNNNNNNNNNNNNNNNNNNNNNNNNNNNNNNNNNNNNNNNNNNNNNNNNNNNNNNNNNNNNNNNNNNNNNNNNNNNNNNNNNNNNNNNNNNNNNNNNNNNNNNNNNNNNNNCGCUUUAGCUAAAGCGCCGAAAAAUUGUUUAAUGUUAUCUUAUAACGGUGCCGUUUUGUCCUUGUUAUUAGUGGCGCAUUUGAAAAUCGCCGCAAAAGGUGAUAUAUUACCGGCGUUUUAUGAAGAAACGCCACAAAUUUCCUUUAACCGUAACGAAGACGGUGCCGUUUUGUUGUUUUCUUUUAGUGGCGCAUUUUAAAAACGCCACAAAUAUUUAUUACGAGCUGAGGAAACGGCGCCAUUUCCUAUUUUUAUUAGUGGCGCUUUAGCUGAAGCGCCGCAAAAAUGAUGUUAUCUUAUGACGAUGCCGUUUUGUCUGUGUUAUUAGUUGCGUUUUUACUCUAAGCGCCACAAGUUUUACUCUAAAAUGUGUUAAACGACUGCGUUUGUACUGAUAUUAGUGACGCUUAUUGUUAAGCGCCGCAAAUGAUUUCAAUUUCAUAGAAAAACGUCAUCGUUUUUUCCCAUACAUUUUACCGAAACUUAGAGCCCCAAUCGUGACUUAUCCCCCAAAAUCCCAUUCUCCCCCAAAUCCCUAAAUUUCCCCUAAUCCAGAUUUCCCCAAAGCCGACCUUUUGCAACGUUGCCAUUUCCUCUGGCGCAUCACCGUCUCCCUCCGUCGGUCCCCUCUACCCCCAUACAUUUAACCGAAACUUAAACCCCAACUAUUGUGACUUAUCCCCAAAAUCCAUUUCUUCCUGAAAUAUUGAGAAAUUUCCCCUAAUCCACAUUUCCCCAAACCCGACCUCUUGCAACGUUGCUGUUUCCUCUGGCGCAUCACCGUCUCCCUCCGUCGGUCUCCUCUACCGCAACAAUCGGUAAGUUUUUGUGAUAUCUUCUGCUGCAAAAUAUCCGUCUGUACUUGCUUCUUCUUCUUCCUGCCCUAAUUACGAUAUUUUAAAUUGUUGUAAUUUAAUUUAAUUACUUUUAAAGUGUGCAUUAUGUAACAGAUAAGCUAUGUAUACCUCUUGCAUCCGUAAAAAAUGAUGCAUUAGUUUCUGACGAUUUUUUUCAGUUGCAUUUACAUGGCAGUNNNNNNNNNNNNNNNNNNNNNNNNNNNNNNNNNNNNNNNNNNNNNNNNNNNNNNNNNNNNNNNNNNNNNNNNNNNNNNNNNNNNNNNNNNNNNNNNNNNNUUAAUCGGUAUUUUACGGUGUUAAUUAUUUAUUUUAGCAAUACAAAUAAUUAUAUUAAAUAUUAAAUAUCAAUGUUAAACACUGCAGAGGGAUUAAAAUUGGAAUUUUACCUAAAAUUGCCAUUUGAAUUUAGUGUUGUUAAAAUUUAGCCAGAAUAAGCUUAGAAUUAGGUUGGACAGAAAGCAAUGGAAUGGAGCUAUUUUGACCAAUUUAUUUAUAUUUCUAGGUGAAAGCCCAUCAAAUAUUGAAAACUUGACCACUUUCGAAGCUGCGGUUAGAUUCUAAUAACAAGUUAUCAAGUAUAAUAUCAAUUUUCUGCUUUUUGUUCUUACAUUAUGCAAUAUCGUUUUUCAUAACUUGCAUAAUUUGAGCAUCAUUUUAUGAUAAAUUUGAGCUUUGCUUUAUGAUAAAAGUUGCAAAUUGAGGGGAUGUGGUUUUUAAAAAAACAUGAAGCUUUAGGCAAAUGGUUAAGAAAAAAUACGGCCUACUAUUAAAAAAAAGAUGAGCCUUGUUUGUUGAUAGCAGUAGCCAUUGCUAGUGGUUCAUUGUAAAAUAUGAGUGUUUUGAACAUUGUUAUGUAAUGACACAGUUGAGCUUAUAGGUAAUGGCUUAUUUUAAGAGAACCCAAAUGGACUGUCACGUAUUAUCAAAUUGCCGUCAUUCUUGUAAAAAUUAAAUUAUACACAUUUUGUUGGUGCAACAAUAGAUGGUGUGCUUUGCAAUAUAAUUUCAGAUGUUGAGACAUCUUUUUCCAUGUACCUUGUAAAUCGAAAUCUUUUUUACAUUAUACAAGAUAAGGUCACAUUUCAUUGAGACUUCUUUAGUUGAUAAUGUGAUGGCAAUUUCGGCUACAUACUUUUUAAAAAUAAUUAUAUUCAAUAGUGAUCAUUUAAAUCAAAUAUUUAGGGAUAAUACCAUGUUGUGCGAAUGUCAAAGGCACACCUCACUAGCACUGUUAUAUUCACUUUUUUAAUUUCAGUUUACAACUAUAUGAACUAGCAUAAUUAAAAUCAAUCAUUAUAAAUACUAAUUAAAUAAUUUAUUUAACAAUUUGUGAAAUGACAGUAAUUGUUGUUAAAUUAAAAGCAUUAAAGGCAGAUUAACCCUAAAUUUUAAGCUAUAUAUGCUAGUAAAAAAUAUAUACUUGGUCCAAAUAUAUUUAUUUUGUAAUGCCAAAUCAAAGUAUUAUUUCUUUAAUAACAAAAGUUGUUUUGAUAAAUAUAAAAAAAUUAAUUGUAAAUAUAAAUGCCAAGUCAAAGUCUUUUUGAUAAAUUUUAACUUAUUUUGAUCUUUGAAUUAAUAAAAGCUCAAAAAUAUAUCAUAUCAAAACUUGUAUUUUAAUUUAAUACAUAAUUUACAUAACUCACAUAACUUACAAAAGUCACAUACAUACAUAACUUAAUAAAUGGUACAUAGCUUAUAUAACUUACAUAAUACAUAACUUAAAUAAAUACAUAACUUAUUUAAUACAUUACUUACAUAAUAACUUACAUAGCUUAUAUAACUUACAUAACUUAUAUAACUUACAUACUCCAUAACUUACAUAAUUUACUUAAUACAUAAUCAACAUAUAUUAUAUCUUAACUUACAUAAUAACUUACAUAGCUUAUAAUAACCUACAUAACUUACAUAAUACAUAACUUACAUAUCUUUUAUACUAUAUACAUAACUUACACAAUUUACUUAAUACAUAACUUACAUUGAGAAAAAUAUUAACUUACAUAAUAACUUACAUAGCUUAGUUAUACUUAUCCCUAAAUCCUAAAUCCUAAACCCGUGCAAUUUUUUGUCAACGUCAGACUUCAAUAAUUAAGAAAUGGACCGGUCUUAGAUGAAUUUGUCAAGGGUAAGCAACGGCUAUCGAAAUGGAGUAUAGACGUUUCUAAAUUUUGCAUUUCAAUACGCAAGCCAAGAGAACAUGAUUCUUUGCCCCUGUAAAAAUUGUGUCAACAUAAACUGGCAUUAUCGUGAGGUUGUAUAUGAGCAUCUAAUUGUUGAUGGGUUUGUUCGGGGUUAUAAACAAUGGUUAUUUCAUGGAAAAUGCCCGCCUAGUACUUCCUCUUCAAGGAUGGAUGUAACUUAUCCUAAUACUGCUUACAAUCAGUCUGAUAGAGGGGAUAACAUGGAAGGUAUGUUGCGGGAUGCAUUUAAUAUGCACAAUCAUGGUGUCCAGUCAUUCCCAGCGGACUUUGUGGCCUCUGAUGAUUGUAAUAUUGGUGGAAAUGCUUUUACCGAACAGGGAAGUAGUGUACGUCAUAAAGAGCCGAAUGGAGAAGCGGCGAAGUUCUACGCGCUACUUAAUGACAUGAAUGAAGAACUAUAUGAGGGAUCAAAUUUUUCAAAAAUGUCCUUCUGUGUUCGUCUUUUUCAAUUAAAGUGUUUGGGAGGGUGGACCGGAAACUCGUUGACAAUGCUGUUAGAGUUUUUGAGAGAAAUGUUUCCGUUUGCAAAAAUCCCUCGGUCAUGCAAAGAUAUGAAGAAAAUGAUAAAAGAUUUAAGCAUUGGGUAUAACAAAAUCCAUAGUUGCCCAAAUGACUGCAUGUUGUAUUGGGGCGAUCGGAGAAGCCAACAGUGCUGUCAUGUAUGCGGCCACUCCCGUUGGAUAAGUAGAAACACAGAAGAUGGGAACGAUGAUGAAAAUAAUGCACAGUCACGGAAGAAGCCAGUCAAGAUUUUGCGGUAUUUUUUGUUGAUACCAAGGCUUCAAAGGCUUUUCAUGUCGUCGAAGACAGCAGAGUCAAUGACGUGGUAUCAUGAUGGACGAACCGAUGAUGGAUUACUAAGGCAUCCGGCAGAUUCUUUAGCUUGGAAAUCAUUUGACAAUAAAUUUCCAAGCUUCGCAAGCGAUCCUAGGAGUGUGAGGCUUGGGCUAGCAGCUGAUGGAUUUAAUCCUUUCAAGAUCAUGAGCACUGCCUACAGUACUUGGCCAGUAGUGCUUGUUCCUUACAAUCUGCCUCCGUGGAUUUGCAUGAAAUAAUCUUCCCUUAUCUUAUCUAUGAUUAUCCCUGUAGAGAAAGGGCCCGUGAAUGAUAUCGACAUUUAUUUACAGCCACUUAUUGAAGAGUUAAAACAAUUGUGGGCUGGUGUCGAGACAUACGAUGUGCUGAGAAAGGAGAACUUUAAUUUACGUGCAACUUUGAUGUGGACCAUUAAUGACUUUCCCGCUUAUGCUAAUUUAUCCAGUUAGAGUACCAAGGGCCGUUAUGCGUGUCCUUGUUGUGCUGCACAAACAUGUUCGCAAUGGUUGUACAAUGGGAAGAAGUUCUCUUACAUAGGGCAUCGUCGGUGGUUACCGAAAAAUCAUAGAUUUAGAUUUCAGAGUUCUGUAUUUGACGGUACUGAAGAGUUCAGAGAAGCUCCUUCGCAGACCCCUGGCUCUGAAAUCUUGUUCAUGUUGGAAGAUAUGAAUUUCAUUUAUGGGAAGAUGAACCAACCACCAAACACGCAAAGAAAUAGAAGAUCAAAUGAUGAAGCUGAUGAUGACUCUGAUGAAGAGGACGAUCCUAAUGAGGCGGACUUGUGGAAAAAAAAGAAGUAUUUUUUUUAGUUGCCUUGUUGGGAGCAUCACCUUUUACGACACAAUCUUGAUGUUAUGCACAUUGAAAAAAAUGUUUGCGAGAACAUUGUGGGUACAAUUUUGAAUGUCGACGGAAAAUCAAAAGACAAUCUUCAGAGUCAACUUGAUUUAGUCCAAAUGGGAAUCCAACCUGAUCUUCAUCCCAAUCCACUUCCAAAUGGGAAAUAUCGGUUGCCGCCUUCUAUUUUUUCAAUGUCGAAGACGGAAAAAGAAGUGUUCUGCACGGUGUUGAAGGAUAUAAAGGUUCCAGAUGCGUAUGCAUCAAAUAUAUCUCGAUGUGUUAGUGUUAAAGAUCAAAGAUUAUAUUCGCUAAAAUCAUAUGACUAUCACAUCUUGAUGCAAGAUUUACUGCCAGUGGCUCUACGAUGUUGUAUGUCCAAGAAGGUGACGUCUUGUAUAAUUGAACUAUCCAACAUAAUGAAAGCCAUUUGUGGCAAAGUUUUGGAUGUUCAAGAACUUCAGAAGGUACAGGAUCGAGCCGCUUUGACUUUAUGCAACAUGGAGAAAAUCUUCCCACCUUCCUUCUUCACCAUUAUGGUUCACUUGAUAAUCCAUCUCCCGCACGAAGCAAUUCUUGGCGGACCCGUUUUCUAUCGAUGGAUGUAUCCCAUAGAAAGGUGUUAAUUAAAAUUUUUAAAAUUUUCCUUCAUUCACCUCUAUGCCUUUAGUUACAACUUUUGAUAAUGUUGUAUAUUGUGUUUAGGUUCCUAUCCAAAUUAAAGUCUUACUGCCGCAACAAUCGAUAUCCAGAAGGAUCGAUUGCUGAAUGCUACUUAGCAGAGGAAUGUAUGACCUUCUGCUCAAUAUAUUUGGAAGAUGUUGAAACAAUGUUAAACAGACCAAAUAGGAAUGCUGGACUCACGGACCAUAACUUAGCCGAUACUUAUUUGUUCCAAAGUUUUGGAGAACCAAUCGGCAAAGUUGAAAUUACAGAAUUAGAUCAUUUAUCGUGGGUACAAGAACAUCGAUAUGUUCUGUUUCACCACGAAUCAUUGGAACCUUUACGGAAGUAAGUUCUACAAAUUUGUUAAAUAUUUAUCAAACUAAUAACUGUUUAUCUUCUAACAAAGUGAACAUUUUUUUAACAUAGUGAGUACAAAAAUAUUGAGAUCUCGUUCGCGCUCCCGAAGAACACAACAUCGAGAUAUCAAUAAGUUGUUUACAGAAUCUUUUUAUGAAUGGUUAAGCCAAACGGUAUGCAGUUGGAGCUUCCGCUUACAAAUAAUAAUGUUUUCUCAUAACAUUUUUAAUUACUCAGUUUACUUUCCAUUCAAUAGGUUUGGAGUGGGAAGAACGUAAACGAUGAAGUUAAAUGGCUCUCCCAAGGUCCAAAUCGAGUGGUUAAAAGAUAUAGUGCGUUCCUCAUCAACGGAUUCAGAUUUCAUACAAAAUAUCGCGAGAGGUUGAGGAGAAUGCAAAAUUGUGGAAUAGUUGUUAAUUCUGCAAUUACAAGUUAUGCUAGUGCUAGGGACAAUAAUCCUGUCGAGGGAAAUGUGGAAUAUUUCGGACAUCUUACUGACAUAAUUGAGUUGGAUUACUACGGCAAAUGGAAAGUUAUCUUAUUUCGGGGUGAUUGGGCCGAUGUUAAUACAGCUCGUGGAAUUAAGCAAGAUCAAUUUGGUUUUACAAUGGUGAACUUUGACCGAUUGAUUCACACAGGACAACAACUGAUAGAUGAGCCGUAUGUAUUCUCAUCUCAAGUCAAACAAGUUUUUUACUCAAAAGAUCCAAUUGAUGAGGGUUGGUAUGUUGUACUCCGUAACAUCCCUAGAGACUUGUUUGACAUGGGCAGUGGAAGUAGAGAUAACAUCGACGACAGAUCAGAAACUUUGCCCUUUCCAGAGCAAAACUUAAACGAUAAUAUCCCUAGUACUAGUGCACAAUUUCAAUGGGUUCGUCAGGAUACCGAUGAAGAUAUUUACGAAUAAUGAUGUAGUAAGAUUUUACGAUUUUUUAAACUUAUAUAACUUACAUUAGUAUUAAAUCUUGGUCUUAUUAUAUAUUUCAACUAUUUUAUAUGUGUUGUUAUUGUUGUAAUUAGUUAUUAAGUUUAAUUACAUUUUAUGUGUAUUGCAGAUAAAAUGCCUAGAAGAAAAAUUAUAAGGGAAAGCAUUGUUCAAAAUGAUCCAAACUCGACAGAAACAAAUAGUACUGAAUAACAGACAGCAAUUGGAUCUUCGAAUGUUCCGAUUAUACCUGAGGAUCCUACGGAAGUUCAAAGUAAUUUUACAUUUAAUUUACAUGCGUGUUGACUUAUAAUUGAUUUAUUUUUCAAAUUCUUAUAUUAUAAUAUACCAUUUGUAGGUGAAAAAGGUUGGACGCGUAGAGGUCGAGGACGUACGCUACUUAGAGAGUUAUACAAGUUAGAUCCAGUCGAGCAUGUCAAGGUAUGCAGAAACAGUUUUGGUCAGCCUGUUGGAUCUGAAGCUCGACUUUUAGCAGGAUACAUGGGCAUUUUAGCACGAAAUGUGAAUAUGUUGCCUAUCAACUACGAGUCAUGGCGUCAAAUGCCCGAUAGCAACAAAAACCAAGCCCUCGAUAAUAUUAAGGUAACAAAAUGUUAAUGUCAUCUGUAAUGCUUGGGAAAUAGUUUCAUUUAUAUUUACUUUAUUAACUUGUGUUUUUUGUAGGCGAGGUUUGCUUUAGAGGUCUCGGAUGCUUAUGUAAAGAAGGCAUUGGGAAAAAGAUGGAGAGACAAUAAAAGUACUUUGAAGAAAAAUUAUUAUAAGACAAAAACAACCCUCGAUGAGAAAUUGCAAAAUGUCCCGCCGGGUAUGUUGAGGUACCAAUGGGAAGAUGCGGUUAGAUUUUGGCAUUCUGAGAAAGGCGAGGUAUGACGUACUUCCAAACUAUUGUAAUUAUUUUAGUUUAUAGUAUUUACUAUUUACGUACUAAAAAUUUUAUAACGUAGGAUCAUGAACGAGUUGGAAAAAGCAGCCGGCAGCAACAAAAAUUCACUCACACAGCCGGGUCGAGAAGUUUUGCAUGUGUAGCUGAGGCGGAGGUAUUUUUAAUUUUUUAAUAUUCUCAAAUAUGUAUAACUUUCUAUUAAAUAAUAUUUUUACUACUAUAUUGUAGGAACGGUCGUCCGGUCAAAAAGUUGGACGCCUUCAACUUUUUGAAAUUACACAUAAGAAGAAAGAUGGAUCUGCUAUGACUCCUGAAGCUGGUGAAAUUAUGGUACGUUUACUUAAUACGAUUUGACUUGUUUUAGUUAUUUAUAGUGUUUAUUUUCUAAUGGUUUAAUUCAUUGCUUGUAAUGCGACUAUUGUUAUAUUGCAUUUGUUUUUUUAAUAUAUAUUGCGUUCUUUUAGGAAAAACUAAAGGAACAAAAGACGGAGUACGAAGUGAUUGCUUCUAGUGAUAGUUCUGUUCAUCUUGAAGACAUUGAUAACUGGAUUAUUACUGAAGUUUUGGGUCCUGAAAAGUAUGGUCGAGUUCGAUUUCAAGGAUCUUUUAUCAACCCAACCCAAUAUUUUGGAUCCAGCUCGCACCAAUACAUGGCUUCGAGGAGUCAAUCUCAAGUUGAAGUUCAGAGGUUAAAAGACCAGAUGGCUCAGAUACAAGCAACCACAUUUGAGGUUCAAAGGAAAUAUGAAGAACUUCAGCAACUUAAAACAGAGGCGGCAGCGAGGGAAGCAAAGGCUACAGCGAGAGAAGCAGAGGUUGCAGCAAGAGAAGCAGCGAGAGAAGCAGCGAUAGAAGCAGAGGUUCAAAAGAAAUAUGAAGAACUAUAGCUACGACUUCAAAAAGAUAUGGCAUCGAGAGAAGCAGAGCAGAGCAAAAAGUACGACGAACUUCAACAACAGCUUCAGAUUAUGAUGAAGAUGUUUCAGCAGUCGCAACUCCUGUCGUCAUAGUGUAUGUUGCAUAAAUAUUUUUAUCAUUUUAACUUUUAACGUUUUUGUAAAGAAAAGUAUGAAUUCACUUUUAUUUAUAUCAAUUAAUAUUAUUUGUCAUUUAAUUUGAAAUAUUAUAUAAAUUUAUUGUUUUUGGUUAGUUUAGAUCUGGUUGUUUUUGAUUUGUUGUUGCAGGAGGGCUGAAAAAAACAGAAAAUUUUAUUUUAAAAAAAUCCCAAAAUUAGUGGCGUUUUUUAAAAAAGCGCCGCUAAAAGUCAUAUCAAAUAGUGGCGUUUGUGAAAUAAGCGCCGCUAAAGAAUACUACUUUUAGCGGUGUUUUUGACCAAGCGCCGCUAUAGAACAUUACUUUUAGCAGCGUUUUCUUCCUAAGCGCCGCUAAAGAACAUGAUCUUUAGCGGCUUUUUUCCUAAGCGCCGCUAAAGAACAUGAUAUUUAGCUGCAUUUUUUAAUAAGCGCCGCUAAAGAAAAUAAUCUUUAACGGCGUUUAUUUCCUUAGCGCCGCUAAAGAACAUGAUCUUUAGCGGCGUUUUUUUUCUGUAAGCGCCGCAAAAGUUAGCGACGUUGUCGUUAACGGCAUUUUUUGUGGCGCUUCUUCAAGUGCCGCAAAUGCCUUUAGUGGCGUUAAGAAGCGCCGCUAAAGGCCUAAAAAAACGCCGCUAAAAACAUGUUCUGGUGUAGUGUAUGCUCGUGGUUAGCUCUCUCGUUGGACUUGAAUUUCAGCAAGUUACAAGUCUACAACUACGUGCUUUAACUUCAUUAUUUUAGAAAAGUAGACCAUUGGCUCUGUGCUACGUACGUAGUAGGAGUACUAUAAAUUAUGGCCACUUCACAGCAAUAUUAUUGCAGUUCCUGGUUGGUUACCUCUGUGUUUUCAACUUAAAAUUUCUUGGUUUUCCUCAAGAAGGAAGAAGAUGUUGCAAAUAGCUUUCAGCUCGUAUUCAUGGCUGUUGACUGCUAGCCACCAGAAAGAUGGAAUGUUGUUCCCAGUAGCUUUGUCAUUUUUGGUAGCCAUAUUGGGCAUUUCAUUGUGGCACGUAUGGACCAUAAGAAAGCCAAAGAAAGACAUCGCCCCAUUACCGCUGGGUCCCCGUGGGUUGCCAAUAGUGGGAUAUCUUCCAUAUCUUGGAACUGAUAAUCUUCACUUAGUGUUUACAGAUUUGGCUGCAGCUUACGGUCCCAUCUACAAGCUUUGGCUCGGAAACAAAUUAUGUGUAGUCAUUAGCUCGGCACCACUAGCGAAAGAAGUGGUUCGUGACAACGACAUCACAUUUUCGGAGAGGGAUCCUCCCGUUUGUGCAAAGAUUAUUACCUUUGGCCUCAAUGAUAUUGUAUUUGAUUCUUACAGUAGUCCAGAUUGGAGAAUGAAGAGAAAAGUGCUGGUACGUGAAAUGCUUAGCCAUAGUAGCAUUAAAGCUUGUUAUGGUCUAAGGAGGGAACAAGUGCUUAAAGGCGUACAAAAUGUUGCUCAAAGUGCUGGCAAGCCAGUUGAUUUUGGUGAAACGGCAUUUUUAACAUCAAUCAAUGCGAUGAUGAGCAUGCUGUGGGGUGGCAAACAGGGAGGAGAGCAGAAAGGGGCCGACGUUUGGGGCCAAUUUCGAGAUCUCAUAACCGAAAUAAUGGUGAUACUUGGAAAACCAAACGUUUCUGAUAUUUUCCCGGUGCUUGCAAGGUUUGACAUACAGGGAUUGGAGAAGGAGAUGACUAAAAUCGUUAAUUCUUUCGAUAAGCUUUUCAACUCUAUGAUUGAAGAAAGAGAGAACUUUAGCAACAAAUUGUGCAAAGAAGAUGGAAACACUGAAGCAAAAGACUUCUUGCAGCUUCUUUUGGACCUCAAGCAGAAGAACGAUAGCGGAAUAUCGAUAACAAUGAAUUAAGUCAAGGCCUUGCUCUUGGUAAGCUUCUUCAUCUAUCAUACUGCAUAGAUCAUCUUUCUUUUUUAUUACCUUAUUUUCUUGGGAUGCUAAUAAGUUUUUUUUUAAUCAGGACAUUGUGGUGGGUGGAACUGAUACAACAUCAACCAUGAUGGAAUGGACAAUGGCUGAACUAAUUGCAAAUCCUGAAGCAAUGAAAAAGGUGAAGCAAGAAAUAG
RNAcentral lists this long non-coding RNA (28236 nucleotides) under Gossypium raimondii (Peruvian cotton). Its description in RNAcentral is "long non-coding RNA (GRAI_LNC002411)". Lineage: Eukaryota; Viridiplantae; Streptophyta; Magnoliopsida; Malvales; Malvaceae. The record is from RNAcentral.